AAUAAGAUGCCUGAGGCAAAGGACUAUUUUGAUAGAAUAGAUAACGUAUAUUAUUACUCUUAUUA
Molecule: transfer RNA, 65 nt
Filed under: Tuxedo elongatus
Lineage: Eukaryota; Metazoa; Arthropoda; Insecta; Hemiptera; Miridae
Description: tRNA-Ile
Source: RNAcentral